This 406-nucleotide ribosomal RNA is filed under the name uncultured bacterium. Its description in RNAcentral is "partial 16S ribosomal RNA". It matches the Rfam family "Bacterial small subunit ribosomal RNA", at positions 30 to 526 of the family's 1533-position model. The record is from RNAcentral.
AUUGAACGCUGGCGGCAGGCCUAACACAUGCAAGUCGAGCGAGAGGCGGACGGGUGAGUAAUGUCUGGGACACUGCCUGAUGGAGGGGGAUAACUACUGGAAACGGUAGCUAAUACCGCAUACCAUCGGAUGUGCCCAGAUGGGUUUAGCUAGUGGGUGGGGUAAAGGCUCACCUAGGCGACGAUCCCUCGCUGGUCUGAGAGGCGGACCAGCCAAACUGGAACGUAGACACGGUCCAGACUCCUACGGGAGGAAGCAGUGGGGAAUAUUGCACAAUGGGCGCAAGCCUGAUGCAGCCAUGCCGCGUGUGUGAAGAAGGCCUGCGGGUGGUAAAGCACUUUCAGCGAGGAGGCGUUACUCGCAGAAGAAGCACCGGCUAACUCCGUGCCAGCAGCCGCGGUAAUUC